RNAcentral lists this non-coding RNA (108 nucleotides) under Pseudacidovorax intermedius. RNAcentral describes it as "Glycine sequence". It matches the Rfam family "Glycine riboswitch aptamer". Rfam says of the family: This family represents the bacterial glycine riboswitch. Glycine riboswitches usually consist of two metabolite-binding aptamers domains with similar structures in tandem. Lineage: Bacteria; Pseudomonadati; Pseudomonadota; Betaproteobacteria; Burkholderiales; Comamonadaceae. The record is from Rfam by way of RNAcentral.
CGUUUCCCUGCUGGAGAGAGGCGCCGCGGCCCAGGCCGCGCGUCCACCGAAGGAGCAAGCCCCCAUCGCGGGGUGAAUCUCUCAGGUAAAGCGGACAGCCGGGGUGGA